This 247-nucleotide ribosomal RNA is filed under the name uncultured bacterium. RNAcentral describes it as "partial 16S ribosomal RNA". It matches the Rfam family "Bacterial small subunit ribosomal RNA", at positions 523 to 769 of the family's 1533-position model. The record is from RNAcentral.
AUACGGAGGGUGCGAGCGUUGUUCGGAAUUAUUGGGCGUAAAGCGCGUGUAGGCGGUCUUUUAAGUCUGAUGUGAAAGCCCUGGGCUCAACCCAGGAAGUGCAUUGGAAACUGGGAGACUUGAAUACGGGAGAGGGUAGUGGAAUUCCUAGUGUAGGAGUGAAAUCCGUAGAUAUUAGGAGGAACACCAGUGGCGAAGGCGGCUUCCUGGCACAAUACUGACGCUCAUGUGCGAAAGCUAGGGCAGC